RNAcentral lists this ribosomal RNA (496 nucleotides) under uncultured bacterium. RNAcentral's name for it is "partial 16S ribosomal RNA". It matches the Rfam family "Bacterial small subunit ribosomal RNA", at positions 28 to 506 of the family's 1533-position model. The record is from RNAcentral.
GAUGAACGCUGGCGGCGUGCCUAAUACAUGCCAGUCGAGCGAACGGACGAGAAGCUUGCUUCUCUGAUGUUAGCGGCGGACGGGUGAGUAACACGUGGAUAACCUACCUAUAAGACUGGGAUAACUUCGGGAAACCGGAGCUAAUACCGGAUAAUAUUUUGAACCGCAUGGUUCAAAAGUGAAAGACGGUCUUGCUGUCACUUAUAGAUGGAUCCGCGCUGCAUUAGCUAGUUGGUAAGGUAACGGCUUACCAAGGCAACGAUGCAUAGCCGACCUGAGAGGGUGAUCGGCCACACUGGAACUGAGACACGGUCCAGACUCCUACGGGAGGCAGCAGUAGGGAAUCUUCCGCAAUGGGCGAAAGCCUGACGGAGCAACGCCGCGGGAGUGAUGAAGGUCUUCGGAUCGUAAAACUCUGUUAUUAGGGAAGAACAUAUGUGUAAGUAACUGUGCACAUCUUGACGGUACCUAAGCAGAAAGCCACGGCUAACUACGU